Long non-coding RNA from Falco peregrinus (peregrine falcon), 1132 nucleotides. RefSeq lists it as uncharacterized. The transcript is spliced from 3 exons. The record is from RefSeq and is a predicted model, not a curated record. Lineage: Eukaryota; Metazoa; Chordata; Aves; Falconiformes; Falconidae.
CGGCAGCGCGGCGGGGCCCCGGCACGGCCUUGCUCUGUUCGGACUGGCCCUGCCCUGCCGUACUCGGGCUGGACCGCGCGCUCGCGGCGGUGCCAGGGCUGUUCCGCCCUACGGCCGCCGCCUCUUGUCGCCCGGCCUGGCGCGGCCUUCCCUGGGGCUGAGGCGGGCUGGCCCUGCCGGGCCCUACGGCCUGGCCCGGGGGCUCCGCGUUGCCCUCGUGGCCCGUGCUGCCGUUCACGGCGCUGCCAGUCGAGCGCGGGUGACGGCCUGGGUAACGGGGAGCGGGCCCCGGGGCCCGGCCUGCAGGCGACCGGGCCGGGGCAGGGUCCGGGGCGGCGUCUCUUUGAGGAGCGGGGAGGGGGAAUUAGAGCAACACAAAGUGCCCUGAGAAAGGCCAAAUACACGGGUCCUAAAUGCUCCUUUACUUUUUGGAGGUGUGAGAUUACUUUUUGGAGGUGUGAGACUGUUUAUCUUUGUGCCACCCUCCCCUUUUUUCUGAGUUUUGCGCUUUUUUUUUUUUUUAAUUUUAUUCUUAAGUAGCCUGCACCUGCUGUUUGUAUGCUGUCUGAAUGGUUUGGGGCUUUGGGCCUUUCCGCUAAAGUAGAUAGCUUUCUUUACCAGGUGUCUGCACUGAGGUGCAGAAGCUGAGGCUACAGAGUGAAGCUAAACAAGGACUGGAAAAAGCUAGAAGAAAGACCCUUCAGAGGAGCCUGAGAAAGUGUGAGCAGCAGGAGUCUGUGACUGAUGAGCAGCCCCAUCAGUAGUAGGAUGCUGCACCUUCCAUCCUCGCUUGAUGCUAGGCCUAGAAGGAAAAGAAUGGAGAGAAUGUGACAACAAGAAUCUUGUAUAAAGCAGCAUACCUUAGAAGGCUCUUCAGACUGCUGUGAAAACCUUCUUGAUAAUGUAAAGUAUUUCUGGUUCAGAGAAGGUCAAACAACAGGCUUGAUGAGCACAGCAGGAGUUGAGCAAGACAUAUCACAGUGUGGUAUUUUAGUAGUCCAUGAUGUUUUUCCAGUACACAAAUCUUUGUAGUUGGAAGCAGUAAAGCUGUGUGAUCCCUUAGGGCUCACACACUGGACUGGAACACAGGGCAUGAGCUUGGGUACUGACUCUGUGCAUAGUCUUGUUUGGA